UGGUUCAAGUCCCUCUAUCCCCA
RNAcentral lists this transfer RNA (23 nucleotides) under Parnassia palustris (bog stars). Its description in RNAcentral is "partial tRNA-Leu". The record is from RNAcentral. Lineage: Eukaryota; Viridiplantae; Streptophyta; Magnoliopsida; Celastrales; Celastraceae. RNAcentral also lists the same sequence under 62 other names.